AGAGUUUGAUUAUGGCUCAGGAUGAACGCUGGCGGCGUGCCUAACACAUGCAAGUCGAACGGGGUUAUUCAGGAAAUUUCCUUCGGGGAAUGGAAUCUUUAACCUAGUGGCGGACGGGUGAGUAACGCGUGAGCAAUCUGCCUUCGGAUGGGGGAUAACAGCCGGAAACGGCUGCUAAUACCGCAUAACACAUGGGAUCCGCAUGUUUCCCAUGUCAAAGAUUUAUCGUCCGGAGAUGAGCUCGCGUCUGAUUAGCUGGUUGGCGGGGUAACGGCCCACCAAGGCGACGAUCAGUAGCCGGACUGAGAGGUUGAACGGCCACAUUGGGACUGAGACACGGCCCAGACUCCUACGGGAGGCAGCAGUGGGGAAUAUUGCGCAAUGGGGGCAACCCUGACGCAGCAACGCCGCGUGAUUGAAGAAGGCCUUCGGGUUGUAAAGAUCUUUAAUCGGGGACGAAUUUUGACGGUACCCGAAGAAUAAGCUCCGGCUAACUACGUGCCAGCAGCCGCGGUAAUACGUAGGGAGCAAGCGUUAUCCGGAUUUACUGGGUGUAAAGGGCGUGUAGGCGGGCAUGCAAGCCAGAAGUGAAAUCUGGGGGCUUAACCCCCAAACUGCUUUUGGAACUGCGUGUCUUG
RNAcentral lists this ribosomal RNA (638 nucleotides) under uncultured bacterium. RNAcentral's name for it is "bacterial SSU rRNA". It matches the Rfam family "Bacterial small subunit ribosomal RNA", at positions 8 to 644 of the family's 1533-position model. The record is from RNAcentral.